AUUGAACGCUGGCGGCAGGCCUAACACAUGCAAGUCGAGCGGAUGAAGGGAGCUUGCUCCUGGAUUCAGCGGCGGACGGGUGAGUAAUGCCUAGGAAUCUGCCUGGUAGUGGGGGAUAACGUCCGGAAACGGGCGCUAAUACCGCAUACGUCCUGAGGGUGAAAGUGGGGGAUCUUCGGACCUCACGCUAUCAGAUGAGCCUAGGUCGUAUUAGCUAGUUGGUGGGGUAAAGGCCUACCAAGGCGACGAUCCGUAACUGGUCUGAGAGGAUGAUCAGUCACACUGGAACUGAGACACGGUCCAGACUCCUACGGGAGGCAGCAGUGGGGAAUAUUGGACAAUGGGCGAAAGCCUGAUCCAGCCAUGCCGCGUGUGUGAAGAAGGUCUUCGGAUUGUAAAGCACUUUAAGUUGGGAGGAAGGGCAGUAAGUUAAUACCUUGCUGUUUUGACGUUACCAACAGAAUAAGCACCGGCUAACUUCGUG
This 484-nucleotide ribosomal RNA is filed under the name uncultured bacterium. RNAcentral's name for it is "partial 16S ribosomal RNA". It matches the Rfam family "Bacterial small subunit ribosomal RNA", at positions 30 to 507 of the family's 1533-position model. The record is from RNAcentral.